Molecule: unclassified non-coding RNA, 305 nt
Filed under: plant metagenome
Description: partial contains 5.8S ribosomal RNA, internal transcribed spacer 2, and large subunit ribosomal RNA
Rfam family: 5.8S ribosomal RNA (bases 1-104)
Source: RNAcentral
AAAUGCGAUAAGUAAUGUGCAUUGCAGAAUUCAGUGAAUCAUCGAAUCUUUGAACGCACAUUGCGCCCGCCAGCACUCUGGCGGGCAUGCCUGUCCGAGCGUCAUUUCAACCAUCAAGCCCCCGGGCUUGUGUUGGGGACCUGCGGCUGCCCGCAGGCCCUGAAAACCAGUGGCGGGCUCGCUGUCACACCGAGCGUAGUAGCAAUCACCUCGCUCAGGGCGUGCUGCGGGUUCCGGCCGUUAAACAGCCUUACAAAACCCAAGGUUGACCUCGGAUCAGGUAGGAAUACCCGCUGAACUUAAGC